UGCCAAUAGUCGCUCUCUCUCUUUUUUUUUUUUCCUUUUUGCAUCAGUGAUGCAUGUCACCUUCCUGCAAGGCAACCAGUUUACAGACCUGGCCAGAGGGAAAAUUACUGGGCAACAGAAUAAAAAGGAGGCAUAAGUCAGCUCAGCUCUCUGAACCCUGGAAAAGGCAACUUCCCUCCAGCUCAUGAAAGAGGACGAUUGUGCUCAGUACCACUCAUCCAGUGCCAACAAUCUGACAACAACAGAGAUCUUCUUUCUCCCAGGAGUGGCCAUGUGAUAGAUUCUGACUGAAAGGGUGUAUUCAUAGAAGGCAUUCUAAUACAGUAUGGAUUCAAUAGAGCAAGCUUUCCCAUUGAGCAUAGUUGGGCAAGUAUUAGGUGAUUUUCUGAAUUUUAUGUUUGGGUUUUGGUAUGUCCUUUUCCUUCUCCUUAAAAUCUGUUCUCAA
Mustela erminea (ermine) is the source of this 445-nucleotide long non-coding RNA. RefSeq lists it as uncharacterized. The transcript is spliced from 3 exons. Lineage: Eukaryota; Metazoa; Chordata; Mammalia; Carnivora; Mustelidae. The record is from RefSeq and is a predicted model, not a curated record.